AUCUUUGCACAAAAUUAAGGUUGCGUUUAUUUCAAACGCAUUAAAAGGGAAUCAAGUUAUAUUAAAAUCUUGAGCUGUACCCGCAACUGUAAGCUUAGUUCUUAAAUGAAUGCUUGUUGUUAACUACAAACCACUGCUCGCCCCCAAGCGAAUGGGAAGGUAAACAACAAGACGCAAGCCAGGAGACCUGCCUUUUUAUAACAAAUAUC
Molecule: non-coding RNA, 209 nt
Filed under: Flavobacteriaceae bacterium
Lineage: Bacteria; Pseudomonadati; Bacteroidota; Flavobacteriia; Flavobacteriales; Flavobacteriaceae
Source: RNAcentral